CGACCUCAGGUCAGGCAAGACAACCCGCUGAGUUUAAGCAUAUCACUAAGCGGAGGAAAAGAAACUAACAAGGAUUUCCCUAGUAGCGGCGAGCGAAACGGAAAGAGCCACACUAGCCAACCCAUACCCAGGAUUACGAUUUCGCGGAGCCUGCCGUCUGGCGGGCGUCGGUGGCGAGGCUUUUUUU
RNAcentral lists this non-coding RNA (187 nucleotides) under Selaginella moellendorffii. RNAcentral's name for it is "Eukaryotic large subunit ribosomal RNA". It matches the Rfam family "Eukaryotic large subunit ribosomal RNA", at positions 1 to 193 of the family's 3401-position model. The record is from Rfam by way of RNAcentral. Lineage: Eukaryota; Viridiplantae; Streptophyta; Lycopodiopsida; Selaginellales; Selaginellaceae.